AGACCCGAAACCCGGUGAUCUAGCCAUGGGCAGGUUGAAGGUUGGGUAACACUAACUGGAGGACCGAACCGACUAAUGUUGAAAAAUUAGCGGAUGACCUGUGGCUGGGGGUGAAAGGCCAAUCAAACCGGGAGAUAGCUGGUUCUCCCCGAAAGCUAUUUAGGUAGCGCCUCGUGAAUUCAUCUCCGGGGGUAGAGCACUGUUUCGGCUAGGGGGCCAUCCCGGCUUACCAACCCGAUGCAAACUGCGAAUACCGGAGAAUGUUAUCACGGGAGACACACGGCGGGUGCUAACGUCCGUCGUGAAGAGGGAAACAACCCAGACCGCCAGCUAAGGUCCCAAAGUCAUGGUUAAGUGGGAAACGAUGUGGGAAGGCCCAGACAGCCAGGAUGUUGGCUUAGAAGCAGCCAUCAUUUAAAGAAAGCGUAAUAGCUCACUGGUCGAGUCGGCCUGCGCGGAAGAUGUAACGGGGCUAAACCAUGCACCGAAGCUGCGGCAGCGACGCUUAUGCGUUGUUGGGUAGGGGAGCGUUCUGUAAGCCUGUGAAGGUGUGUCGUGAGGCAUGCUGGAGGUAUCAGAAGUGCGAAUGCUGACAUAAGUAACGAUAAAGCGGGUGAAAAGCCCGCUCGCCGGAAGACCAAGGGUUCCUGUCCAACGUUAAUCGGGGCAGGGUGAGUCGACCCCUAAGGCGAGGCCGAAAGGCGUAGUCGAUGGGAAACGGGUUAAUAUUCCCGUACUUGGUGUUACUGCGAAGGGGGGACGGAGAAGGCUAUGUUGGCCGGGCGACGGUUGUCCCGGUUUAAGCGUGUAGGUGUGUGUUCCAGGUAAAUCCGGUUCACUUUAACACUGAGGCGUGAUGACGAGGCACUACGGUGCUGAAGUAACAAAUGCCCUGCUUCCAGGAAAAGCCUCUAAGCAUCAGGUAACAUCAAAUCGUACCCCAAACCGACACAGGUGGUCAGGUAGAGAAUACCAAGGCGCUUGAGAGAACUCGGGUGAAGGAACUAGGCAAAAUGGUGCCGUAACUUCGGGAGAAGGCACGCUGACACGUAGGUGAAGUGAUUUACUCACGGAGCUGAA
This 1080-nucleotide ribosomal RNA is filed under the name Salmonella enterica subsp. enterica serovar Berta. RNAcentral describes it as "partial 23S ribosomal RNA". It matches the Rfam family "Bacterial large subunit ribosomal RNA", at positions 711 to 1781 of the family's 2925-position model. Lineage: Bacteria; Pseudomonadati; Pseudomonadota; Gammaproteobacteria; Enterobacterales; Enterobacteriaceae. The record is from RNAcentral. RNAcentral also lists the same sequence under 3 other names.